Molecule: ribosomal RNA, 492 nt
Filed under: uncultured bacterium
Lineage: Bacteria
Description: partial 16S ribosomal RNA
Rfam family: Bacterial small subunit ribosomal RNA
Source: RNAcentral
AGUGAACGCUGGCGGUAGGCCUAACACAUGCAAGUCGAACGGCACCACAGUAAGAGCUUGCUCUUACGGGUGGCGAGUGGCGGACGGGUGAGGAAUACAUCGGAAUCUACUUUUUCGUGGGGGAUAACGUAGGGAAACUUACGCUAAUACCGCAUACGACCUACGGGUGAAAGCAGGGGAUCUUCGGACCUUGCGCGAUUGAAUGAGCCGAUGUCGGAUUAGCUAGUUGGCGGGGUAAAGGCCCACCAAGGCGACGAUCCGUAGCUGGUCUGAGAGGAUGAUCAGCCACACUGGAACUGAGACACGGUCCAGACUCCUACGGGAGGCAGCAGUGGGGAAUAUUGGACAAUGGGCGCAAGCCUGAUCCAGCCAUACCGCGUGGGCGAAGAAGGCCUUCGGGUUGUAAAGCCCUUUUGUUGGGAAAGAAAAGCAGCAGGUUAAUACCCCGCUGUUCUGACGGUACCCAAAGAAUAAGCACCGGCUAACUUCGUG